This 250-nucleotide ribosomal RNA is filed under the name uncultured bacterium. RNAcentral describes it as "partial 16S ribosomal RNA". It matches the Rfam family "Bacterial small subunit ribosomal RNA", at positions 104 to 339 of the family's 1533-position model. The record is from RNAcentral.
GGGUGAGUAACACGUAGGUGACCUACCUUUUAGUGGGGGAUAACUCCGAGAAAUUGGAGCUAAUACCGCAUAAGAUGGAUAAUUUUGAAAGUAAUCCAUGAAAGGAUGCCUCUUCUUGAAAGCAUUCACUGAAAGAUGGGCCUGCGGAUCAUUAGUUUGUUGGUGGGGUAAUGGCCUACCAAGACUUCGAUGAUUAGCGGAUCUGAGAGGAUGAUCCGCCACACUGGAACUGAGACACGGUCCAGACUCC